RNAcentral lists this ribosomal RNA (879 nucleotides) under uncultured archaeon. RNAcentral describes it as "bacterial SSU rRNA". It matches the Rfam family "Archaeal small subunit ribosomal RNA", at positions 1 to 878 of the family's 1478-position model. The record is from RNAcentral.
CUCCGGUUGAUCCUGCCGGACCCGACUGCUAUCGGAUUGAGAUUUAGCCAUGCGAGUUGAACGUUCCUUGAUUGCAGGGAGCGUAGCAUACGGCUCAGUAACACGUAGUCAACAUGCCCAGAGGACGUGGAUAACCUCGGGAAACUGAGUCUAAACCGCGAUAAGUGAGGAUUUCUGGAAUGGUUCCUGACUAAAAUCUAUAUGGCCUCUGGAUUGGACUGCGGCCGAUCAGGCUGUUGGUGAGGUAAUGGCCCACCAAACCUGUAACCGGUACGGGCUCUGAGAGGAGGAGCCCGGAGAUGGGCACUGAGACAAGGGCCCAGGCCCUAUGGGGCGCAGCAGGCGCGAAACCUCUGCAAUAGGCGAAAGCCUGACAGGGUUACUCUGAGUGACUUUCGCUAAGAAAGUCUUUUGGUACCUCUAAAAAGGGUGCAGAAUAAGGGGUGGGCAAGUCUGGUGUCAGCCGCCGCGGUAAUACCAGCACCCCGAGUGGUCGGGACGAUUAUUGGGCCUAAAGCAUCCGUAGCCGGUUCUGCAAGUCCCCCGUUAAAUCCAGCUGCUCAACAGAUGGGCCGCGGAGGAUACUACAGAGCUAGGAGGCAGGAGAGGCAAGCGGUACUUUAUGGGUAGGGGUAAAAUCCGCUGAUCCAUAGAAGACCACCAGUGGCGAAGGCGGCUUGCCAGAACGCGCUCGACGGUGAGGGAUGAAAGCUGGGGGAGCAAACCGGAUUAGAUACCCGGGUAGUCCCAGCUGUAAACGAUGCAGACUCGGUGAUGGGUUGGCUUUGAGCCAACCCAGUGCCGCAGGGAAGCCGUUAAGUCUGCAGCCUGGGCAGUACGGUCGCAAGACUGAAACUUAAAGGAAUUGGCGGGGGAACA